Molecule: transfer RNA, 71 nt
Filed under: Caudoviricetes sp.
Lineage: Duplodnaviria; Heunggongvirae; Uroviricota; Caudoviricetes
Description: tRNA-OTHER
Rfam family: tRNA
About the family: Transfer RNA (tRNA) molecules are approximately 80 nucleotides in length. Their secondary structure includes four short double-helical elements and three loops (D, anti-codon, and T loops).
Source: RNAcentral
UUUGGAUUUGUCAAGAGGUUAAGACGCAAGCCUAUAAGCUUGAAACGAUGGUUCGAAUCCAUUAUCCAAAA